Long non-coding RNA from Mirounga angustirostris (Northern elephant seal), 800 nucleotides. RefSeq lists it as uncharacterized. Lineage: Eukaryota; Metazoa; Chordata; Mammalia; Carnivora; Phocidae. The transcript has 4 exons. The record is from RefSeq and is a predicted model, not a curated record.
AAAGGAACUGGAAUCAGAGAUACCUUUACUUGAGGUUAAGAGAUUUUUAUAAAUUUAUAAACCAUAUGGACAGUUUAGUUACUGCCGGCUGUUCUCAAGUAGGGAAGGUUUCCAGCAAUAUUCCUAUGGCCCACUGGGCUGACCCACCCGGCGUGGAGAUGCAAAGGCUCGGAUCCAGAGGUCAUAUCGCAGGAUGAGGGUGUCCUGCAGUGUCUGGCACGGGAGGUAGUGUGGGCCGGCGGAGGAAAAUCAAGAUGUGGGACAGACAGAGCCAGAACAGACUCAUCAGAAGCUGGCCUGGAAAAAUGUUUCCAACCAUCAAGCUUGUACAACUAUAGGCACAUUUAAAAUUGAUAACUGGUCAAGAUGAAAUUUGAGGCCGACUAAGAAACAUGCCCCCCAAAAGAGAGGACAAAAAGGAUAUCAGAGAUGUGACAGUGAACCUGGAAAACUGGAAAUUCCUUACAUAUCUGUUCUUUCUGAAAAGAUUGAAAUGAACAAGAGAUUCUAAACUCUCUUCACGCUCACUGUGGUCGCUUCUACACCCAAAUCAAACAAACUCCGCCGGCUAAUUAGUUUUUGAAAGCACAAAGGAACGCAAUACAAGUUGGAGAAAGUGAAAGAACUUCUUUCUAAAUUCAAACGACUGAACAAGGAAACAUUCAGGGCUGCUGCUUUUACAAAAACAGAGCUCGGGGCUUUAAAACCUGCAUUUUCUCCCUGGGAGUAAGCAUUGGUUAAUGACUGCCAGCCGGUCUCUGGGUCUCGGCACCAUGUGACCGGGCCACGUGACUUGGAGC